CAGAAACUGAAGCUGCAGGUGUAAUAAAGGAAUGAUCAUUACCUCUGGGACUGUAUGAAAAUGAAAUGGUAUGAAGAAAAGAUACUGAGCACAAUAACAUUCUCAGGUGCAUGAUCUACUCCCAUCACACUGGUCUCCUUGGAAAUCAUGAAGCUUGCUGACACUUCAGGGCCUUCGAUUUUUAUAUUUACUGUCCUCAGUAUGAAGGAUUCACCCUCAGGUCACUUCAGUGGCCAUUUGGGAUCAUAGACUCUCACGUCCUGCAGUGCGGUGCUGCCCCCCAAGUUUUCAGUGGCAGAUGAGACACAAAUGCUUGGCAUCCAACUGACUGGCCCAACUCUGAACUGAUGGUAAAGCAGGAGAACCUGAUCCUCCCAUCCCAAGUGAUA
Mustela erminea (ermine) is the source of this 389-nucleotide long non-coding RNA. RefSeq lists it as uncharacterized. The record is from RefSeq and is a predicted model, not a curated record. The transcript is spliced from 4 exons. NCBI's taxonomy places the organism in Eukaryota, Metazoa, Chordata, Mammalia, Carnivora, Mustelidae.